This is a long non-coding RNA of Archocentrus centrarchus (flier cichlid), 385 nucleotides long. RefSeq lists it as uncharacterized. The record is from RefSeq and is a predicted model, not a curated record. Lineage: Eukaryota; Metazoa; Chordata; Actinopteri; Cichliformes; Cichlidae. The transcript has 3 exons.
GUACAUGUUUAGCCUGAGAAAGGUACAAGACUAAGUUCUAGUGUGUAAACUGGACUUGAAUAUUUUUGUUACUGGAGUGAAUGCUGGGGUGAGUUCAGCAGUGCACAUGCGCAGUACAGAAGUGCGGGAAGCUUCCAGAAACCCUGUGGACUUACACAUUGGAAGAAGCUGAUCUUCUCUAAAGACCAGUGAUGUUGUUGCCAUGAGGACUGCUGUCCUGCGAUGUCUCGGUUUUCCUCGGGGGUGAUGAAAGAGACUGCUACAAUGCCUCUUUUGAUUCAGAUGCCGUGGCAGACUUCACCCAGGUUCCUGUGGGAUUAUUGCCUGUUAUUCCUGAAGUCAGUCAGCAACCAGGUCCGAAUGCUCUUCACCUUGAACCAUCCAG